UACGUAGGGUGCAAGCGUUGUCCGGAAUUAUUGGGCGUAAAGAGCUCGUAGGCGGUCUGUCGCGUCGAAUGUGAAAACCCGGGGGCUCAACUCCGGGCUUGCAUUCGAUACGGGCAGGCUUGAAUCCGGGAGAGGGAUGCGGAAUUCCAGGUGUAGCGGUGAAAUGCGUAGAUAUCUGGAGGAACACCGGUGGCGAAGGCGGCAUCCUGGACCGAGAUGACGCUGAGGCGCGGAAAGCCAGGGGAGCAAAGCGGGG
Molecule: ribosomal RNA, 256 nt
Filed under: uncultured bacterium
Lineage: Bacteria
Description: partial 16S ribosomal RNA
Rfam family: Bacterial small subunit ribosomal RNA
Source: RNAcentral